RNAcentral lists this ribosomal RNA (253 nucleotides) under uncultured bacterium. RNAcentral describes it as "partial 16S ribosomal RNA". It matches the Rfam family "Bacterial small subunit ribosomal RNA", at positions 524 to 776 of the family's 1533-position model. The record is from RNAcentral.
GACGGAGGGUGCUAGCGUUGUUCGGAAUUACUGGGCGUAAAGGGCGCGUAGGCGGUCGUUCAAGUCGAGUGUGAAAGCCCCCGGCUCAACUGGGGAGGGUCAUUCGAUACUGAUCGACUUGAAGGCAGGAGAGGGAAGUGGAAUUCCCGGUGUAGUGGUGAAAUGCGUAGAUAUCGGGAAGAACACCCGUGGCGAAGGCGGCUCUCUGGGACGGUACUGACGCUGAGACGCGAAAGCGUGGGGAGCGAACAGG